Long non-coding RNA from Apodemus sylvaticus (European woodmouse), 2943 nucleotides. RefSeq lists it as uncharacterized. The record is from RefSeq and is a predicted model, not a curated record. Lineage: Eukaryota; Metazoa; Chordata; Mammalia; Rodentia; Muridae. The transcript is spliced from 3 exons.
GGUCCAGUGUGUGCUGGGAGUGCUUGUGCAGUAAGGAGGGUUCUUCCUCCACAGAUGCCUCACUGUUCCCCCAGUUUGCUCCAGUUUAUUUCUUUAUUUUUACGAUCUUAUGAAAUGCUGUUGACCAGAACUGGAGCAAUAAGACGAGAAGAAAGGAAGUAUUUGGAAAUAUUAAGAGAUGCUGGGCUGAAACAUCUUGCAUUAGUCACUGCUGCCGUGGGAAGCCAACGACUGUGAAAGAAUAUCUUUUCACAUUUCUUACAUAUUUAGAGACUCUGCCCUUUUCAAGAUCCCAUUGCGCACAUCCAUGGGGUUGUUAGGGAACCGGCUCUCUCCUCCAGAUAUCCCCAGUGCGUGCGGAAGUGUCUGGUUAAGUUUUUAUGCUAAUGCUUUGAGGGACCGGCUACAGUCUUCUGUAGCCAGGGAUGCGGUUCCAGCUAGAUGUGCUUGAAGGUCUUCUGCCAUCCAUGAGCCAUUUUCCAAGAUCAUUUCCAAGAUCACACCGAGAUUUGGUGUGAGCCCUCCAAAACAAAGCAAGGCUUUACCUUCGAGUCUGUGUUCAUAUGUAAUGCUGUUAGGCUGGGGCUUUCUUAACCUGCAUGUUUUUCAUACAUAGAUUCGGCCAACAAGGUUUAAAAAUAUAGUCAGACUCAUAUACUUAACAUUUGUAGAUUUUCUUCCUUGCUUUUAAAACCUGGGAAUAAUAACUAUGUGGAGACUCUUGCGUUGUACGAGGUAUUUUAAAUUAACCAGCUAUGUCAAAGUAUACAUAUCCAGUGGGAAGCUGCAGGUUCAGGUUAAACACUGUGUCGUUUUAUACAAAGGAUUUGAGCUUCCAUUAAUCUGACUUCCUUGGGACUCCUGGAACCAACCCCAAACAGACACCCAGGAACAGCUGCAAUGUAUUAAGACCGUCCCUGUGACCAGAAAGAUAAAUGGGCCCAGUCCCUUUAAACAGCUGCCCUCGUCCAGGUUUCUGUGGGCCCUGUCUGUGGUUGAAUUUUUGGGAUCCUGAGGACUCAGGAGGGAAAAGGUUAUGUUUUCCUCUAACCGCAGUGUGGUAUAAACGUCUUUCACGAAUGGCGACAAAGCUUAGGAAUGCUAACUGUACCCACAACUGUCACCGGGAAGAGUCACACAUUUUCAAAUUAUACUACAGGUGCUUUAUCUGCUCUGUCCCCUCCAAAGCUCCGACAUAUAUAUUAUACAUAACAAAUGCAUCCGUUAUAAAAAAUCAUAUGUUUUGAAAGGCGUUUGUAAUAUAGAACUUAUAAAAGGGGUGGAGUUUUUGACGGUUAUGGAAGGGGCAUAGGGAUUACGGAUUGUUGAGAAGCAGGCUCUGCAUGUGGCCAGAGCGCUUUCCAGCACAGCCUGCUCUUAUCCUCGGGGCUAAAUUUGAGCACAUUUGAGAAUAUUUUAGACCUGGAAGGAGGCUGGGCAUGAAAAUAACAACUGGGUCUAACCAAGCCUUUGAAACCACAGGCUGAUGGGAGACUCUGCCUGUGAAGUGUUCCGAAAACACUCUGUGUCAUCUGUUUUCCCGACACCCUUCUCACUUGGUAGAUAAGGGACAAACUUAUUUUCCAUGUUGCAAAAAUAGGAAAUGAGGUAUAGGGAGUCUGGGAGAAUUAUUACCCAAGAUUGCAGUGAGUCAGAGGCUUUUUGAGCACCACAGAAGCCAUGGCUCCCUGAUCAUGACCCCAGAUUUGCUCUCUGCAGGCCUUGCGGUUUUAGAGAAAAAUGUACUAAUUUCACUUUCACUUUUGUUCCUGUUUGGUUGCGGUACAAUCUUCAGUUUAGACAAAGAAAUCAUCAUUUUCGUUUUUAAACCUCCUCCCAUCCACCCCCCCCAACACACACACACAUACAUACACACACACACACACACACACACACACACACACACACACACACUACUGCCUUCCUUUUGAGACAAAGUCUUGCUAUAACCCUGGUUGGUUAGCCUGGAACUCUCUGUAUAAAGCAGACUGGACUUGAACUCACCGAGAUCUUCAUGCCUCCUGGGAUUAGAGGCAAGUGUCAACAUGCUGUGUCUUUGUUGUCAUUGUUUGCUUGUUUUUGAGACAGGGCCUCCUGUAGGCCAAGCUGACUUCUGACUGGGAGAUCCUGCACCGCUGACCCUCUGGCUUUGCCCUCCUAAGGACAUAGUUACAGAAUUUCUUCUUUGCGGGAAAUAUUGUUGAUGAUUCAGUUGAAUCUAAUUAAUCUAAUCAGUGCCUGUUUGGUGCAAGCCUCUUUUCUAGCCACUGAGAAGACACUGAAUUGAUUAACCCCAAUGUUACUGUGGAGGAGGGGCUAAAGGACCAAAGUAAACUUAAUUUUUCAAGCUCACGGGAGUUCUGAGGUCCUGAUAGAAGCCUUCAGUUUGGUACCGUGUGAUGAUCAGUACCUUGUAUCUGUCUUCCAGCUCGGACCCUCCAAUCUCACUUUUAAAUAAGUCACAAGAGCUUGCUAACUUCUCUUAGCGCUCCUUAGAAGCUUGUUUCUGGGGCUGGAGAGAUGGCUCAGUGGUUAGGCGCACAUACUGCCCUUGCAGAGGACCUCAGUUCAAUUCUCAGGACCCAUAUGAUGUGGCUGACAACUCCCUGGUCCUUCAGCUCCAGAAGGACCCAAAACCCUUGGCAACCAUGAGCACCGCCUGCACUUACCUCCGUGCCCUCCCCCCACAGGUUAAAACAUUACAAAUUUAAAAAAUUAAAAUAAUACUAAAUUUUUGUUUGCUUGUUUUAAGGUUCAUUUUUUUUAGUGUAGACACAUGGUGGCAAAGUUACUGGGUCAACGCAUAUAAAUUUAGAAGGCAGAGCAGAUAGGCAUCCGUGAUUACUUGUGCCACUGAAUUAUUUGUGUUGUAUAUUAUUUCCCUGCCAAUAAACUCUAUGAUUGUCAUGCCCUAAGCAACGGACACUUUUUAUGCGACAGAUC